GACGAACGCUGGCGGCGUGCUUAACACAUGCAAGUCGAACGGAAAGGCCCUGCUUUUGUGGGGUGCUCGAGUGGCGAACGGGUGAGUAACACGUGAGUAACCUGCCCUUGACUUUGGGAUAACUUCAGGAAACUGGGGCUAAUACCGGAUAGGAGCUCCUGCUGCAUGUUGGGGGUUGGAAAGUUUCGGCGGUUGGGGAUGGACUCGCGGCUUAUCAGCUUGCUGGUGGGGUAGUGGCUUACCAAGGCUUUGACGGGUAGCCGGCCUGAGAGGGUGACCGGCCACAUUGGGACUGAGAUACGGCCCAGACUCCUACGGGAGGCAGCAGUGGGGAAUAUUGCACAAUGGGCGGAAGCCUGAUGCAGCAACGCCGCGUGCGGGAUGACGGCCUUCGGGUUGUAAACCGCUUUCGCCUGUGACGAAGCGUGAGUGACGGUAAUGGGUAAAGAAGCACCGGCUAACUACGUG
This 468-nucleotide ribosomal RNA is filed under the name uncultured bacterium. RNAcentral describes it as "partial 16S ribosomal RNA". It matches the Rfam family "Bacterial small subunit ribosomal RNA", at positions 28 to 507 of the family's 1533-position model. The record is from RNAcentral.